Molecule: ribosomal RNA, 560 nt
Filed under: uncultured Alphaproteobacteria bacterium
Lineage: Bacteria; Pseudomonadati; Pseudomonadota; Alphaproteobacteria
Description: bacterial SSU rRNA
Rfam family: Bacterial small subunit ribosomal RNA
Source: RNAcentral
CCUACGGGAGGCAGCAGUGGGGAAUAUUGGACAAUGGGGGCAACCCUGAUCCAGCGAUGCCGCGUGAGUGAUGAAGGCCUUCGGGUUGUAAAGCUCUUUUGCACGCGACGAUGAUGACGGUAGCGUGAGAAUAAGCCCCGGCUAACUCUGUGCCAGCAGCCGCGGUAAUACAGAGGGGGCUAGCGUUGUUCGGAAUGACUGGGCGUAAAGGGCGCGUAGGUGGUAUGACAAGUCAGGUGUGAAAGACCCAGGCUUAACCUGGGAACGGCAUUUGAGACCGUCAUGCUUGAGUCUGGGAGAGGAUAGCGGAAUUCCUAGUGUAGAGGUGAAAUUCGUAGAUAUUAGGAAGAACACCGGUGGCGAAGGCGGCUAUCUGGAACAGAACUGACACUGAGGCGCGAAAGCGUGGGGAGCAAACAGGAUUAGAUACCCUGGUAGUCCACGCCAUAAACGAUGAGUGCUAGACGCUGGAAGGUUUACCUUUCAGUGUCGCAGCUAACGCAUGAAGCACUCCGCCUGGGGAGUACGGUCGCAAGAUUAAAACUCAAAGGAAUUGACGG